Molecule: ribosomal RNA, 468 nt
Filed under: uncultured bacterium
Lineage: Bacteria
Description: partial 16S ribosomal RNA
Rfam family: Bacterial small subunit ribosomal RNA
Source: RNAcentral
GACGAACGCUGGCGGCGCGCCUAACACAUGCAAGUCGAACGGAGCUGAGAGAAGCUUGCUUUUCUUAGCUUAGUGGCGAACGGGUGAGUAACGCGUGAGUAACCUGCCCUGGAGUGGGGGACAACAGUUGGAAACGACUGCUAAUACCGCAUAAGCCCACGAUCCGGCAUCGGAUUGAGGGAAAAGGAUUUAUUCGCUUCAGGAUGGACUCGCGUCCAAUUAGCUAGUUGGUGAGGUAACGGCCCACCAAGGCGACGAUUGGUAGCCGGACUGAGAGGUUGAACGGCCACAUUGGGACUGAGACACGGCCCAGACUCCUACGGGAGGCAGCAGUGGGGGAUAUUGCACAAUGGGGGAAACCCUGAUGCAGCGACGCCGCGUGGAGGAAGAAGGUUUUCGGAUUGUAAACUCCUGUCGUUAGGGACGAUAAUGACGGUACCUAACAGGAAAGCACCGGCUAACUACGUG